This 1339-nucleotide long non-coding RNA is filed under the name Medicago truncatula (barrel medic). RNAcentral's name for it is "long non-coding RNA (MTRU_LNC003764)". The record is from RNAcentral. Lineage: Eukaryota; Viridiplantae; Streptophyta; Magnoliopsida; Fabales; Fabaceae.
CUCUUCAUUGAUUGGAAAUUAAAUAUAUAUAUACACAUGUACACGGGUCUGAAUGCCACUAUAACAGGAUAAAUUAAAAGCCAAACAGAUAAUACUGACUACGGUUAAUACAACUAAUGCUAACCAUGUAACAAAUAAUCAUAUAACUGAUAAAUAUAACAGAAUCUAAUAUGCUUCAGCCGGAGAGUAGAUGGAUAUUACUCCCAGUUUGAAGGAGAAAGGAGAAAGAUGAGUGUCUAAUGGUUUAGUCAAAUAUCUACAUUUGUGCAACGACAAGUCUUUUUCCACUAAGUAGGAAAAAUAUUCUAUCAUAUAUCAUAUUUUGGUCCAACUCAUUAAACCAUUUGUGCAAAACUGGGAAUUAGCAACCAAUGAGUUUGGAGUGUAAUUUCUCAUGAAACACAAGGCAAAGGUAAUUUGGUAAUCAAGCAGCAAAAAGGUUAGCAAAUUUAUUUCACAAAUUGAGUAUGCAAGGGCUCUAUAGAAGAAUCAACAAGAAAUACGAAAUAAAAGAAAACCAGACACAAGUAGCCUAAUCAGAAUCAUUGAAUGUCAUAUGGUCCAAAGAGGACACUGGGAAAAAUAAUCUCAAGAGUAUAAGAACUUUUAAUAUAAUGGAGGAGGAUUGCUGGGAAAAAUAAUCCUUGAGCAUGAGAACUCUUCUAUGGAGAACUCUUAUAUGGAGAACCCUUGUGUAGCCUGCAGGUGAAACUCUGUAGAAGCAACCAUUACUUACCAAGUCACUGAAAUGUUUAACUCAAAUGUGGGGGCGUGCUUGUUAAGUAGAGUAGGCGUGCAUCUAGGUGUGACUUGACAUAUAGAAUUUUAGUAAGAUCACUACCUGUAAGUAUGAGAAAAGCUAUAAUUGAAAGAUGAAUUUAUUUAUUUAUUUUAAAUUAAUAUUAACUAUCUUAUAAGCAAAAACAUUUACAAUAAUUUUACUCUAUGUAAAAGGCAAAUUAAAGCAACACAAUGAAAGUAACAUUAACUAUUUAGAAAAAUUGAGCUCGAUUACAUUUCAAUGAGUCAAAUUCAUUUAUAAUUGUCUUUGGGUGCCAUUUAAUUUCCUUUCCCACCAUGGGAAAGUUGAUCAUGUCCAUUAGAUUAAAUGAGGAACAUAUUCCUAUCAUACUUGUCUUUGUAUUAAAUAUACUACUAACAAUUUCUUUAUCAAUGCAAACAACUCGUUCGUUUAUUCUUGCAAAUUGUUUAUGGUAACAAACAUUUGACUUUCUUGCUUCUACUAAUAUUCAACAAAUAAACUUAUUUGAGAUAAUCAAGUAUAUUAUCAAGGUAAGUAAACAUAAAAUAUAGCUACAUAUCUAUUUUUUGAAGAAAC